UCUUCAAGAGUUUGGAGAUUCUCACCUAUUUAUGGGUACAUAUUUACACAGUUAACCUAGUAUAAUCUGUUGUAACAGUCUGUCAGAUGAAACAGAUUCCCCCUCGAGACAGUUCAGGACUGCCUGAUGAAGGUCUCCGUGCCGCCCUUCACGCUCCAAACAUUCAUAUUCUGUUUUGACUAUCAUUCACACUCUCACAAGCAUUCUGCAUAUUACAGUAAGUCUGACGUUAGACACCAAACAGCAAUCUCUUUAAUUACAGUGAUUGAAUCCCAAAAGAUUCUCUUUUCUCUAUAUAAGUGCACUACAUCGAAUAUGACAACGUUUUCCUGAACAUAUAUAAGGCAUUGUAUUUCCAAAAGAUUGUCAUCUCAAGUUCAGCCCAUGUACAUGUACUAACAACAGGAAGUUGCAGUCUAUUUUGACAUUGUUUACUAUGAGUGUAGGCAGUUUGGAAUAUACAGCAAGCCUUGUCCACUACCCUACACCUCUCUUAUUAGCUGGCUUCAAAUGCAGACCAUCCACACACACGUUCAUUAAUGUAUUACGGAGAAACAUGACAGAGAGGCAUGUUGUUCAGACUUGGAGGAAACGUCAAGGGCAAAUAUGGCCAACGACCUGUAAGACGCGCCCUCUAAACACCUAGGUCACCACUUAUCUUCUUUAGAGUGUACUUUAAAAGCCGAGCGAAGUCGAAAGGACAAAAUCAAUAGUAUGUCGUCGUCGCGUACAGGCUUUAUCCUGAGUGUAGUGUGGAGCACAGCUGCAUGAUUGUAUUGCCAAACACCGCGCAUGUCACAGAUCACAGAGCAGGAAGAACAUGGAGGCUGAACAUGGAGGCAAUCCAAACACGAGCUAAACGUCAUUUUAUUUGGGCCACGUUUAUAUAAAAGUCUCCACACGAGACGUCAGGUGUGUUUUGUCUUGCUGUAGAUAAUUAUUCCUGUAAAGCAAAUGUCUUCAUUCGAGGCAGUGCCCGUGGCUUUAGAACUGAGACGUACAUACACCCUAUUACUAUUAAUAGGAGGCAAAGAAGGAAUGUCGCUAGUGUAAAGGAAGAUAAGCUUUAACAUACCUUCCAAUCGAGACGUGCAGGAACUUCUGUCCAAAUCGGACUUGACUUUCAAUUCGUGACUUUUCUUGUCUUCCGCAACUGGAAGUUAAAACCCCACCUACAGCGCUACCGCGUUCUCAUUGGAGCUCACUGAUACACGCUCACUGGACACUUUAUUAGGAACAGUACUGGGUACCUCAUAAUGGAGCUCACAAAAGAGAUAAGGCACAACAACAGGUGCUGGCUCAAAUUUAGCCUAUUACCUGAAGACACUUAAACAUAGAAGCAAAUACUCACAUCUGCAAACCCAGUUGGAGAUAGAAAAAUAAGACACCAGCCGCUUUCCUUGCGAGACGAGAAUCUUCACCAUCUGAAUCAUGAGUGCCGGUGCCCGUCGUCAGUCCCUUCUCUCUCCGUUACUGGACCUGGAUCUGGAUCUGGACCUCCCUUAUGUUUAUUUUAUGACAUUUUUUAUCCACAACACUAUUAUCUCGCGGUUAGGGCAACUUGACUCAGCUACCCUUAUAAUUGGCUCUUCAUGGUUCUCUCUUAAAAUUAAGGCCCUCGUCUACACCACGCCUGACCCUUCCUUGGGAGACAAGAAUCUUCACCAUCUGAAUUAUGAGUGCCCGUCAUUUUUCCUUCUUUCCUUUAUUGGAGGGGCUGGAUUUGGAUCUGAACACUCUAUCAGAUUGCGCGUCUCACAGCUGACAUCGCUGUGUUACUUGACGUUCUUCACACUCCCUCUGGAAAUGGAAAUGCGGGGUUCCCCCCACCUCUCAGAUACAGAAUCCGCCCCGUGAAUGUGUGUAUUGACGCCUCUACACAGACAGACCCUCUGCCUGACCUUCCCUCCAGCUUUCAGUCUGAGGAUGAUAUCGCCUUCUCUGAUCUGGGCUCUGACCAUUCUUCCCUCUUCUCACCGGUCAGUCCGCCGUACUCUCAGUAUUCUCCUUAUUUCACCCUUGCUGUCCCAUGUUGUUAUCCCAUGUCCCCAGGACGCACCCCCUUUUAUCACCCGUUUUCUCCCUACCGCUCCCCUCAGGAUUAUACCCCCACCAGUCCUGUGAAUUUUCAAUAAAAUUACAUGGUGUUCAUAC
This is a long non-coding RNA of Ictalurus punctatus (channel catfish), 2154 nucleotides long. The record is from Ensembl. NCBI's taxonomy places the organism in Eukaryota, Metazoa, Chordata, Actinopteri, Siluriformes, Ictaluridae.